UUUUUUUUUAAUUAACACAAACAAGUGGAAUAUAUCAGUAAACAAAAGAGCAGAGCUGCCACCUCAGGUGAUACUGUAAAAACUUUUAGAGUAAAAAUUGAGGUAAUUGAAAAAUCAUCUUCCUUUCCCCUUUGGAGUCAAAACUAAUGUCUCUCAGAAACACACAAAGGAAAUAACCUUUAAACUCCACGUUUGUUUUUGCAGUGGUUUGACUGGAAAAUAAUUUCAUCUGCCUUUGUAAAGGAGGGUGGGGGGUGGUAUAAAACAAAGUAGAGACCAUUUCCCUCCCACCACAGCCGUACAUCUAUUAUCUGACUCACCACUUCUGGGACUCCUUCUGGCAGCUCUGGUUUUAUUGCACUGAAAAUUCAAGCCUGUGAAAAUAUUCCCUAUUUUCAGGUUUACUUUGUUCACUGCUUUGUUCAGGUCAGUAUCCCUUCCUUUAGGGGUCUGGAACCCGACAUUCAGCAAGGGCUAGAUGUUGCUGUUCUUAAGCCUUGUGAGAAGGACCAGCUCGCUGGAAGGAAGGGGGGAGGGAAAGGAAGGGGGAGGAGAGUCCAUAUCUGAAGAGAGAUUCCAGACUGGAGAAAUUUUACUGACAUCCAUUCAGUUUCCAGGGUCUCCUUCAAGGGCUUUUACUGAGCUCCAAAAGCCCCUGCAAUUCACAGCGGCAUUUACAUGCAACGUUCCCCUCUGGGAGCUAAGGUAAAACUGUACUCCUGGAUAAUAAUCACAAAGAAUACCACCAGACUCCUAUUCAAAUGUCAACCAGCCACUACCGUUGUAGAGAGUAACAAAGAGAUGCUAAUAUAAUUAAUUAUGAAGCCUCAGUACCCUCAUUAACACAUCUUUAGUGCCUAGAUCUUUGAAAAUCAGCUGUAUAAAGUGACUGUCAGAGUUAAUUCCUUAUAAAUUGCCUCCUGUCACAUGCCAGCACUGCAGCAAGUUCUCUCAGGCCUUGAUGCUAAGAAAUCUGGGGUUUUUUUUAAGUUCUGAUGCAGUUUUAUUGGUGUUAUUAAAGGUGUAAGCUGUUGCAUAAGCAGUUUGUCAGGCUAGAGUAGAGAAAAAUAAAAAUGCCUUUAGUCAGCCCAGCUUACACAGUUGGUGGCAUAAAUAGGAAAAGUUUCAGUCAAUUAAAUGGAAAACUAAGGACAAAAGAAAAAACAGGAAUGAAAGGUGUCACAUAACUUGGCAUUUAAAUGUUUCCGGACCUUUUUUUAAAUUUGAGGAUUGCAGCCAGUUUAUAGCUCUCCCUCCUACUGCUGCCUUUACAACAGCAUUCCAGCUCCAGGCCUCACUCCAGAGCAUCUUCCUGCCCCUCCACUCCCGCUCACAAAUAUAUAUUUCAAUAGGCUUAAGCUACAUGGAGUUCCAAAACCAGCAUGUAAUUGAUGCAAUUGUCUUUUACAUUUCUCCAGAGAGAGCCACAUUCAUGCUGCUUAAGCCCUGUUUUGUCAUGUUUUCCUUUCUUUUUUUUUCCAAGCUGGACUAGGAUCAGUACUUGUGUUGGGAGCCCUACAUAUAUACUGAAGAAUGAAGUCACAGAAACAGGCUGUAGGGGUGGUUCAUUCUGUUAUUUCUCAGUACCAGACUGUCACUCUGCUACAAGAUAAAGGGAGACGAUAAAAAGAAAGUGAUCAUUACAAAUCACUUGGCAUUUUCUGCGAGCAGUUAAAACACUUGUACUGACACAUCCAAUUUGUCUAUACAAGAUACUCUGCUUCCCUUCAUCUUCCAUGUGCUUUUGAGAAGGUGA
This 1756-nucleotide long non-coding RNA is filed under the name Taeniopygia guttata (zebra finch). RNAcentral's name for it is "lncRNA (ENSTGUG00000027448.1)". The record is from RNAcentral. Lineage: Eukaryota; Metazoa; Chordata; Aves; Passeriformes; Estrildidae.